This 1421-nucleotide long non-coding RNA is filed under the name Ursus maritimus (polar bear). RNAcentral describes it as "lncRNA (ENSUMAG00000000452.1)". Lineage: Eukaryota; Metazoa; Chordata; Mammalia; Carnivora; Ursidae. The record is from RNAcentral.
GACUCCUUCUCCCAGAUGUGAGACUAAUCCUAAGACCAUCUCUAUUCCCUGCUCCACAAGUCUAAAAACCACCACCGAGAGAGACACAGCCACCCUUCUGGUAAAGAACCUUCUAGGUCCAGAAGGCCAGCUGGCUUUCCAGGGCCAGGAAACAGGAAAAGAGGAUUCAUUCAGCGUGAGUCAGGACGUAAAUAAGCCACAAGAGGCCGCGCCAUUCCGGGCUGCACCUGUGAGCCUCCCUCGGCUGAAGCCCUGUCAGCGUUUCCAUGACAAACUCAUAUUUCUGGAUGCCUCUCUUCUAGCUUCAAGAGCAUGCCUUGUGCUGAGACCUGACACUGAAAAUGCGUUCAUCGCUUUUUUCCCCUAAAAAAGACUGCACGGUCUAAAAACCCGCCUGCUCGUGAUACGUGUUUGCUUUGCAUUCUGCGAGUUUUGUGGCUAUCCUAUUUGUGUGGUAGAUGUGGAAGCAUAGGGUAAUACACGUGGGAGCUCUGUGGCAGAGAGCGGCCGCGGCAAAUACACAACCCCUGCGUGGCACAGUGAGCUGCCCCCCUCCCUAAACCAGCCCUCACACCCGCUCGCCUGUCCCAAAGCCUGAAAUUCUACCAGCAGAGAUUUACUGCUUUUGAAUCUCUCCAGCCCUAGGAGUCUCCUGAGACAAAGCACCACCCCUGAACCGCACAAAGCUGCCAUCUGAUGAGGGCUUAGAACCAUGAGGCAGCAGGGAAAAUGGACAAAGGAUGGACUCUCUCGCCUCAGGACAGCGCCCUGCUCACGUCUCACAGACACGGUCCCUGAUCAUGUAAACAUGAUUUUUCCGUCUAAUGGGUUAUCCACUGUCUAUGAUGUCUCAGAUGCUCAUCCGUUCUGGGGAGAAAGAAGGAAGAGGAGCGGUCACUCUGUUUUAUGACAAGGGGGAAAGCCAGGCAAGGGGGUUUAGAAGGAUUUAUACCAUUUAAACAGAGCACGGAUUCUUGCCUUUGGAAAAUGUACUCACAAAAAUUCCUCAUACAGUUUCAGGGUUCAGGGACUUCCUAACGUCUUUCUGUGGACCCUCUGGGAGCAAAAAACACCUGCCCCACAUGGUUCUGUCAGCCCAAGCCCUCUGAGCUCCUAGAGGGUCACGUUCAAGCGCAUGAAGGAUCUUUUCAGCUGUGCCUUUGCUGAAUGACGGACUUGUCACCCCUCGCCACCCAGCUGUCAGAUGAACUUAACCGACCUUCCCUCCCUCCCCAAGGAAGAGCUUUAAAACCCAGUGACACAGUGACAUAUCACCUGUGUUGGACAGAAUCUUCUCAGACCCAGACCGUGCCUCCCUGUUCCUGAUCCUGCAGCACAGAGUCUAAGCCGCCAUGAGGUGUCAGGAGGAUGGAUGGUCUCCACUGCAAAAACGGAAACACGGCUCAGACUGGCUUAAGCGA